Molecule: ribosomal RNA, 521 nt
Filed under: Clostridioides difficile
Lineage: Bacteria; Bacillati; Bacillota; Clostridia; Peptostreptococcales; Peptostreptococcaceae
Description: bacterial SSU rRNA
Rfam family: Bacterial small subunit ribosomal RNA
Source: RNAcentral
UUCGGGGACAUUGGUGACAGGUGGUGCAUGGUUGUCGUCAGCUCGUGUCGUGAGAUGUUGGGUUAAGUCCCGCAACGAGCGCAACCCUUGUCUUUAGUUGCCCUCAUUAAGUUGGGCACUCUAGAGAGACUGCCAGGGAUAACCUGGAGGAAGGUGGGGAUGACGUCAAAUCAUCAUGCCCCUUAUGCUUAGGGCUACACACGUGCUACAAUGGGUAGUACAGAGGGUUGCCAAGCCGUAAGGUGGAGCUAAUCCCUUAAAGCUACUCUCAGUUCGGAUUGUAGGCUGAAACUCGCCUACAUGAAGCUGGAGUUACUAGUAAUCGCAGAUCAGAAUGCUGCGGUGAAUGCGUUCCCGGGUCUUGUACACACCGCCCGUCACACCACGGGAGUUGGAGACGCCCGAAGCCGAUUAUCUAACCUUUUGGAAGAAGUCGUCGAAGGGGGAAUCAAUAACUGGGGUGAAGUCGUAACAAGGUAGCCGUAUCGGAAGGUGCGGCUGGAUCACCUCCUUUCUAAGGA